GAGGAUAUAGCUCAAGUGGUGGAGUAUUCGCUUAGCAUGCAUGAGGUUCUGGGUUCAAUCCCCAGUACCUCCG
RNAcentral lists this transfer RNA (73 nucleotides) under Camelus bactrianus (Bactrian camel). It matches the Rfam family "tRNA". From Rfam's summary of the family: Transfer RNA (tRNA) molecules are approximately 80 nucleotides in length. Their secondary structure includes four short double-helical elements and three loops (D, anti-codon, and T loops). RNAcentral also lists the same sequence under 1 other name. Lineage: Eukaryota; Metazoa; Chordata; Mammalia; Artiodactyla; Camelidae. The record is from Rfam by way of RNAcentral.